CCCAACUAUCCCUAUUAAUCAUUACGUCAAUCCUAGAAACCAACAAAAUAGAAUCAAACGUCCUAUUUCAUUAUUCCAUGCUAAUGUAUUCAAGCGCGAGCCUGCUUUAAACACUCUAAUUUUUUCAAAAUAACAGUCCUGAUUUCCUGCGAUACCAAAUUAAUGACAUCGUGGUUUGUCAGAAGGUAGAAUCAAUUUGACCAGUACGUACCGAGGCACGACCGACCAACUGAUCCCAAAAUUUAACUACGAGCUUUUUAACUGCAACAACUUUAAUAUACACUAUUGGAGCUGGAAUUACCGUGGCUGCUGGCACCAGACUUGCCCUCCAA
Molecule: unclassified non-coding RNA, 332 nt
Filed under: uncultured Glomeraceae
Lineage: Eukaryota; Fungi; Glomeromycota; Glomeromycetes; Glomerales; Glomeraceae
Description: sequence contains 18S rRNA gene
Source: RNAcentral